CAGGACCAUAGAAAUAGAACUGGAAAGGCACGUCAAGAGCUCUCUAAGUCCAAAUUCCACUUUUUUACCAGUGGGAAAACCAUAGCCCAGGAGGUCACUAACGGAUAUAACACUACAACUUCCUGGAUAGCUGAUAAAAAGGAAAAGAAAGAAAAAAGAAGCCAAAGCUGCAACAGGUUCAGGCCCCAUGUAGGACACCUCUGGUCAAGAGAAA
Molecule: long non-coding RNA, 214 nt
Filed under: Monodelphis domestica (gray short-tailed opossum)
Lineage: Eukaryota; Metazoa; Chordata; Mammalia; Didelphimorphia; Didelphidae
Description: lncRNA (ENSMODG00000041594.1)
Source: RNAcentral